Molecule: ribosomal RNA, 1319 nt
Filed under: Vibrio owensii
Lineage: Bacteria; Pseudomonadati; Pseudomonadota; Gammaproteobacteria; Vibrionales; Vibrionaceae
Description: bacterial SSU rRNA
Rfam family: Bacterial small subunit ribosomal RNA
Source: RNAcentral
GAGUUAUCUGAACCUUCGGGGGACGAUAACGGCGUCGAGCGGCGGACGGGUGAGUAAUGCCUAGGAAAUUGCCCUGAUGUGGGGGAUAACCAUUGGAAACGAUGGCUAAUACCGCAUAAUGCCUACGGGCCAAAGAGGGGGACCUUCGGGCCUCUCGCGUCAGGAUAUGCCUAGGUGGGAUUAGCUAGUUGGUGAGGUAAUGGCUCACCAAGGCGACGAUCCCUAGCUGGUCUGAGAGGAUGAUCAGCCACACUGGAACUGANACACGGUCCAGACUCCUACGGGAGGCAGCAGUGGGGAAUAUUGCACAAUGGGCGCAAGCCUGAUGCAGCCAUGCCGCGUGUGUGAAGAAGGCCUUCGGGUUGUAAAGCACUUUCAGUCGUGAGGAAGGUAGUGUAGUUAAUAGCUGCAUUAUUUGACGUUAGCGACAGAAGAAGCACCGGCUAACUCCGUGCCAGCAGCCGCGGUAAUACGGAGGGUGCGAGCGUUAAUCGGAAUUACUGGGCGUAAAGCGCAUGCAGGUGGUUUGUUAAGUCAGAUGUGAAAGCCCGGGGCUCAACCUCGGAAUAGCAUUUGAAACUGGCAGACUAGAGUACUGUAGAGGGGGGUAGAAUUUCAGGUGUAGCGGUGAAAUGCGUAGAGAUCUGAAGGAAUACCGGUGGCGAAGGCGGCCCCCUGGACAGAUACUGACACUCAGAUGCGAAAGCGUGGGGAGCAAACAGGAUUAGAUACCCUGGUAGUCCACGCCGUAAACGAUGUCUACUUGGAGGUUGUGGCCUUGAGCCGUGGCUUUCGGAGCUAACGCGUUAAGUAGACCGCCUGGGGAGUACGGUCGCAAGAUUAAAACUCAAAUGAAUUGACGGGGGCCCGCACAAGCGGUGGAGCAUGUGGUUUAAUUCGAUGCAACGCGAAGAACCUUACCUACUCUUGACAUCCAGAGAACUUUCCAGAGAUGGAUUGGUGCCUUCGGGAACUCUGAGACAGGUGCUGCAUGGCUGUCGUCAGCUCGUGUUGUGAAAUGUUGGGUUAAGUCCCGCAACGAGCGCAACCCUUAUCCUUGUUUGCCAGCGAGUAAUGUCGGGAACUCCAGGGAGACUGCCGGUGAUAAACCGGAGGAAGGUGGGGACGACGUCAAGUCAUCAUGGCCCUUACGAGUAGGGCUACACACGUGCUACAAUGGCGCAUACAGAGGGCAGCAAGCUAGCGAUAGUGAGCGAAUCCCAAAAAGUGCGUCGUAGUCCGGAUUGGAGUCUGCAACUCGACUCCAUGAAGUCGGAAUCGCUAGUAAUCGUGGAUCAGAAUGCCACGGUGAAUACGUU